CCCUUAGAUGUUCUGGGCAGCACGCGCGCUACAAUGGUCUUCGCAAACGGAUGCAUUCUCGAAGGAGAAUGCCAAUCUUGGAAUCUAUGCCUUGGUCAGGACAGUUGCUUGCAAUUUUUCGACUCGAACCAGGAAUUCCUUGUAAUCGUGAUUCAUCACAUCACGAUGAAUACGUCCCUGCCCUUUGUACACACCGCCCGUCGCUCCUACCGAUCGAAGAGUUAGGUGAAUUGUUUUGAUCGAUAAGAUUUGACUAUGGUCAACUCUCGUUGUGAAAUUCUGUGAAGCUGACUGUUUAGAGGAAGGAAAAGUCGUAACA
RNAcentral lists this ribosomal RNA (319 nucleotides) under uncultured eukaryote. RNAcentral's name for it is "partial 18S ribosomal RNA". It matches the Rfam family "Eukaryotic small subunit ribosomal RNA", at positions 1470 to 1796 of the family's 1831-position model. The record is from RNAcentral.